This is a long non-coding RNA of Hippocampus zosterae (dwarf seahorse), 5412 nucleotides long. RefSeq lists it as uncharacterized. NCBI's taxonomy places the organism in Eukaryota, Metazoa, Chordata, Actinopteri, Syngnathiformes, Syngnathidae. The transcript is spliced from 2 exons. The record is from RefSeq and is a predicted model, not a curated record.
UUGCAUUAUUCUCAUUUACCCAAAUUCACAUGUUAAUUUGUUGUUGACCACCACUCCAGUGGCCGAAUGCCGAAGUCCAAAAAUCUAUUUACUGUUCAUUUCUGGGACUGGGGUUUUCUGUUUCUUCCCCUUAUCUAAUUUCCAAUCUAAACAAGCAGCUUUUGUUUGUUAAAUACCUCAGGGUGUAAUUGAAAAAAAAAAAGGCGCACCUGCUGGUUCUGCAAGUAUCACAUCAACAUAAAGUUUUCAUGUGAUUUGGGAAAUGGAGUUCAAAGUUUCUCAUCAAGGUGUAAAACAGUCAGAGAAUAAGCCAUUAGGCCUGAGUGCCCUGACCUCAUUUAGGCUUAUGAACAUUAUGAGGCAGAUUAACCCUGCAACACACUUGAGCCUACAACGCAUGCAAAGGACCUGCGUGAACAAAUACUGGCUAAUCGUAUCCAAGGCCUAGUUCUCAUAGACGAGCUACUGCAUGUGAGGUUGCACCCUAUUUUAUUUUAAAAUAGAAAUAAUACAUGUUUUGUGUUUGAUGCGGAGGAGUAAAUUCUUCAUUAGAUCACCACUUAGGAUAAAAUAUUUCUAAACGCACUCCAAAAUACUGAAAUCUGGAUAGUUUUUUAUGGUAACAAGCAUUAACAAAAUGUGAAACCUUCAAUAACUGUUGCGACCAUCGUAUGGACUGAGGUCAAGUGUACAGUCCUAGGUUUUGGUAAUUUUGAAUUUGUGUGUUGUGGGCAUAAAACAUUUCUCUCCCCCAAAAUGUAGUCUAUUAACCCUUUCAGGGACAGCGGUUACUAGAGUGGACAGCUUAUCAUGUUAUCAGGUUACCGGUUACUUAGUAAUUUGUAGGGGUGUCCUGUUCUUAUAUUGAUAUCGUUUUGAUAUCAGCCCUCCCAAAAAUUAUUGUAUUAGAUCUGCUUACAUCCCAAAUAUCCGAUAUUAGCGCUCAUAAGCAAGCGGAAUACAUAAAAAAUUAUGCUGAAUAUACUGAAGUAAACAUGAGUCGUUAUUUUGCACUUCAAAGAGUAUAAUUUGUCCUUAUUGAAUUUAUUAGAGGUAUUUCUCAAGUGUCCUUAAAUUGAUUUUGUAUUUAUUUUAUUCACGUGAACAACAGUCUCAGGUUUGAGGUUGAAUUUAUAUAACCUAACACUAGUAAUUUUAUAAUUUGAGCCCUAUAUGAGUCCCGUUAUGCAUUUAGAGAGUCCCAAAUUUCGAAUUUAAUUGGUCUACUUAUUCAAUUGCAUAUGACAAUAACACAAACAACACCAUUGUACAUCGAUAAUAGGUUUAUUUCUUAUAAACAAAUGCUGCAAAAAUGUAAAUCAUUCCGGCAUACAAGAUUUGCUGAGGAAUAGGUUCUUAUUUCAUCCCAUGGUUCAGUCUUUGAGUUCAUAUCUCCGCAAUAAACUUUCACAACACUUGUAUUAACGUAUACAACUUGGCAAUUGUCUGCUUUCCACGAGGUGAAGGCCGAUCUCGCCAAUCUCGUCUCGCGAGAACGGAAAUCUCGUCACGCGAGAUCAAAACAACAGUGGCGGCGAUUGUCAAACUGCGAUCGUUGCUGGGAAAAAAAAAAACAUUUACUGUAGUUUUUUUUUUGACUGAGAUAUUUCCUUGCAUCCCAAAAACGCACAUUAUUUGGAACUGUGCAUCUGGCGGGAAAAUUAUGCGUCUAGAACGCUUGACGCAGAGGUAAUGAGAUGGCUGACCUAGGUGUUUGGAAUUCAUGGAUCAUAUUUUCUCAUACCUGCCUUUUUUUUUUUUUGGAAUAGUAACACUUGAUCAAGUCUCUGAGAACAUUUAAUACAAAAAUAAAAGGAUGUAACAUUCCUGCUGAUAUCGGACCGGUAUCAAAUCAGAGGUGGAAAACGGUGUAUUGGGACAUCCCUAGACCAGGGGUGCCCAAACCUCUUUGACCUAAGAUCUACUUUUCGAUCAACCAACCUCCCGAGAUCGACCCGUUACGUGCGCAGGUGCACGUACACACGCAUGCCAUGAUGAGCAAUAGCCUGACACUGAGGCAUGUAACGCACUUAGGCAGCCUGUUAACGCUCGUAGCUCACACGUACCAUUUUAAAAUGCUUCUCUCGGCCCUCCAGAUUCCCAUUCUUUGCCCAUCCCCUCAGUGAAUUGUACAAAACAAACUGAAUGAGAAUAAUGAUAACGAUAAAAGACAACUCUGAUCACAAGCUGCAACUGCAGACUGCUGAGCGCUAACAACUUCCAGUGACGCAGUCACACGCCACCGUAGUUUAAAGAUGACCCGCUUUAUUUUCUUUUUAAGAUACUUUUUGUGAAAGUGAGACUGAUAGAAUGAUUAGGGUGCAGUGUGCAUUAACACAAACAAUAUAUUACGAACAUGCACAGAGGCACAAAUGUUUGUUUUUUUUAUUCUCCACCUUGGAUCGACUUGGGACCAGUCCUUGAUAUACUGGUCGAUCGCGAUCACCGUAAUGGGCACCCCUGCCCUAGACAUGUGUGACAUUACUGUCAAAAAGUUUGCCAGUAGUUCCAGAUAUAUUUACAUGGCCAUGUGAGUCAUUUUAUAUCUGCAUCCCUUUUAUGACUUGUGACAGGUUGAUUAUAUAAAUUCAAGAAGUUGUUUGUUAAUGACUAUCUGUAAAUGAUGAUUGAUUAGACAGGGGGAUGAAACUCAAAAUACACAGUGUUAAAUAAUUAAAACAACUGAUCAGAUUUUGCUUUCAAGCCAGCGUCCGUGAACUUGAGCUGACAGGAGACAGUCAGGUAGUGGCCAUGGGCCACUGUUAAAUGUUCCACGAUUGCCGUCCAAAUUGAUUUGAUUAUGUUGGUCACCAUUUUUACCUCUGAAACAACAUGAAAUAUUUAUCAGGUUUCAACAUCUGUUUCAAAAGCUGAGUGUUGGCAAUAUUCACGUAAACACCCGCAAAAACCCAAGUACGAUAAUUUUUUUUUUUAAACCAGCUUAAGACCCCGAGUUUACCCCUUUACUAACCCGAACAGUUAGUCAUCUAAAAGUGUAGUGUAAUACAUCAAUUCGUUUGUGUUCUGCUCACGGGCUAUCUGCAAGGGACUUUGGUCUUUUACCUUAUUUAUUUUUUAGUGUUUACAAUUUCUUGCAGUCAGUCAACAAGCUGGUUUGUUGCAUGUGUAUUUUUAUUUUUAUUUUUUUGAGAAAUUGAACAGUGAUCCAAUUGAACAAUUUAGCUUGUGAUGAAUCUGCAGACAGGAAGCACAAAAUUACUCACAUUCCCCAAAUGGCCACGGCCUGAAUUGGCAGCCAGUUAACCUGGAACGCAGUUGAACUGUAACACUGCAGCCUGCACAAUGUAAGAUGCAUGGUAUUUAACUGUGCGGCCAACCUACUGUCGUCACGAUAAAAUAGCAGAUUUACGGCAGGGCAAGAAUUCCUCACUCUGGUGAUUGACCAGUCAUAGCCGCUCAUGGUAAAAUAACAGGAGCAGGAGAGUUGCCAUGGCAAAAUAACUACUGCCAUUUAAAUUUGGCUCAAAAGGCUAAGCGGUUCACAAAAUUGUAGGUUGGAAGAACACCCUGGGUGCUGCCGCUCAACAUCGUACAGCGAGGGAUCCUGUCGGUUAAAGUAUGUUUGAUUAAACUAAAGGUUGAUGCUGUGGUGCCGUGAGCAUGUUGGUAUAGUUUAAAAAAAGUGAAUUUGUCAAAAGGUAAACGAACAUUAAGUGCGGAUUUGGCCCUUCAGGCCAACCUAGAGAACCAGGCUCGUAGACACUUCAGUGCAAGAUGAAAUUGUAUCCAAUUUUUCAAUUUAUCAACGGAAUAGUUAAUAGAAGAAGUGAUUCAAAAAUAUUUGAUGGAGAAUAAGUGAUUCAAAAAAUAUUUGAUGGUGACAGCCCGAGUGUGCUGUGACCAUGCAUCCACCACUGAACACAACAAAUUAGUGAGAAUAUCAUGACAAUUCUACAUGGAUAAAUGGAAAUGCAAUUAAUCGAUUCCAACUCCAGAACAAAGUUAUAUUUAUCUUAUUUCUGCUGGUCUAUUGUUAAAACAAAUACAGCACACUAUAGAAAUAAGUGAUAAUAACCUUUGCUAUCAAUAAAUACAAUUACCGUUCAACGCCUUCACCUUUCUUCAUAUAGUACUUCAUGUUUUGGGUACUUUGUUGCAUUAUGGGAUUUGGUGGCCAUUUUGGGACAGGAGGAGUAUCCACGGUGAACGUAAACAAGACUGUGGAGUCCUUCAGAGUGAAAACCAGAAACUUAAAAUGCACGAAAGACAAGAGGAUUUACAGGGACACAUUGUACCACGAAGCCUUGCCAUCACAAUUGUAAGAGAGCUCUCGUACUGUGGCCAAAGUUCCACCCUUGGAGGACUUUGUCCACUUUUAGCAUGGUUAACACUCGCUGGCUGGGACAGGUGCUGCCUCCUUGAGACCACGAGCUAAUCGCUCCUCCUUCCACAGUGUGAGAGCUGUGGGAGGCUCCAGGCUUCUUCCUGCAUCCAUCGAGGAUCCAGGUUUUUUUUUAAGUGUCUCUUUAUGUGUGUUAACAUUUUCUUUUGGUAUUGAGAACACCUCUACCCAAAUUUAUUAGUUAUUACAAUAGUACAGGUGGUAUAUUGUACCAACCUGAACUGCCCAGGGAGUUCAAAAACACGAUUUCCAUGUUUCACUAUUGUUUUACUGCUUUUCAACAGUAUGACAAUUAGUAGGGGUGUUCCUAUGAGGGUUUUAUGCUGCACACUCCGAUAUUGAUCAUCCGUGGGUGUGAUCGUUUGGUAUGGAUUCCGUUAGUGGUUCUUUUACUGAUCACACAGAUUUGCUACAGUUUUCAAUUUCACUGCUUCUCAACAACAACUUCUCAUCAAUCACAACUUUGUUCUGAUUGAUGAAUGAGAUAAAAAAAAAACGAAUCCAUAUUUCCAUCCCUUCAUUAUAUAAAACAACCUAUUUCAAAUUGACAAGAAAGAGAAUGCACUCAAAUAUAUAUUUCAUUUACUGGUUUUGUCUGUAACGUGCAAUGUGACGGCAAGGGGGAGUGAGCGCAACACAGCCUUGUCUCUAGUUGACUGCAGGCUGCAAAAUAUGAGCUCCAUGCAAUCAGUUUUUCUGACAUACUGAUCACAGUACCGUAUUUUCACGACCAUUCGGCGCAUCGUAUGGUUGGGCGCAGUCUCAUUAAUGGGUGCCAUUUCUGUAUUUUACACAUAGACAAACCGCACUGUAUUAUUGGGUGCAGUUUUACAGUCUUAAAACAUAGGCCAGCUUAAACAUACGGGAUGCAUGCGCGCACGCUAACACGUUAGCUUGAAGCAUACGGUAGCAUGCCAAGACAUACGGAUACACGCUAAAACACGUUUUUAAAAAGGCAACGAAAGCAGAACUGAGUUCGGGUGUAUUUUAUUUACAAGGUACUCACGUUUUUUGCUCAAUCAUCACUCAGAAAGCCAUCAAAGUCCUCA